This is a non-coding RNA of Budorcas taxicolor (takin), 630 nucleotides long. The record is from the annotation of a RefSeq genome assembly. Lineage: Eukaryota; Metazoa; Chordata; Mammalia; Artiodactyla; Bovidae.
GCAGCGGUGUGGGGACGCUCUGCUCAGCUGUGGGGCUACAGACGGCGGGACGCCCUGACCGUGUCCACCAUGGCCUGGUCCCCUCUGCUCCUCACCCUGGUCGCUCUCUGCACAGGAUCCUGGGCCCAGGCUGUGCUGACUCAGCCGCCCUCCGUGUCCGGGUCCCUCGGCCAGAGGGUCUCCAUCACCUGCACUGGAAGCAGCAGCAACAUCGGGGGUGGUAAUUAUGUGAGCUGGUACCAACAGCUCCCAGGAUCAGGCCUCAAAACCAUCAUCUAUGGUACUAGCAGUCGACCCUCGGGGGUCCCGGACCGAUUCUCCGGCUCCAGGUCUGGCAACACGGCCACCCUGACCAUCAGCUCACUCCAGGCUGAGGACGAGGCCGAUUAUUACUGUGCAAGUUAUGAAAGUAGCAGCUAUAAUGGCACAGUGCUCCAGGCCAGGGGGGAAACUCCAGGAAGAACCAGGCUCCGGGGUCCCCGCGGAUUUUCUGGAUCCAAGGAUGUCUCAGCCAACGGAGGGCUCCUCACGUCUCUGGGCUGCAGCGUGAGGACGAGGCUGACUCUGACCGUGCAGGCUGGUGCAACAGGGCUCCGCACAGCGACACAGGUAGACGGGAAACUGGGAUGA